RNAcentral lists this ribosomal RNA (206 nucleotides) under uncultured bacterium. RNAcentral describes it as "partial 16S ribosomal RNA". It matches the Rfam family "Bacterial small subunit ribosomal RNA", at positions 568 to 774 of the family's 1533-position model. The record is from RNAcentral.
UGUGUAGGCGGUUGGAUAAGAGUGGUGUGAAAUCUCCCGGCUUAACUGGGAGGGUGCGCUACAGACUGUCUGACUAGAGUGUGGGAUGGGAGAGUGGAAUUCCUGGUGUAGCGGUGAAAUGCGUAGAUAUCAGGAGGAACACCGGUGGUGUAGACGGCUCUCUGGACCGUAACUGACGCUGAGACACGAAAGCUGGGUAGCAAACA